UACGAAGGGGGCUAGCGUUGCUCGGAAUUACUGGGCGUAAAGGGCGCGUAGGCGGACAGUUUAGUCAGAGGUGAAAGCCCAGGGCUCAACCUUGGAACUGCCUUUGAUACUGACUGUCUUGAGUUCGGGAGAGGUGAGUGGAAUGCCGAGUGUAGAGGUGAAAUUCGUAGAUAUUGGGAAGAACACCAGUGGCGAAGGCGGCUCACUGGCCCGUAACUGACGCUGAGGUGCGAAAGCGUGGGGAGCAAACAGG
This 253-nucleotide ribosomal RNA is filed under the name uncultured bacterium. RNAcentral's name for it is "partial 16S ribosomal RNA". It matches the Rfam family "Bacterial small subunit ribosomal RNA", at positions 524 to 776 of the family's 1533-position model. The record is from RNAcentral.